Long non-coding RNA from Sinocyclocheilus grahami, 319 nucleotides. RefSeq lists it as uncharacterized. The transcript is spliced from 3 exons. The record is from RefSeq and is a predicted model, not a curated record. NCBI's taxonomy places the organism in Eukaryota, Metazoa, Chordata, Actinopteri, Cypriniformes, Cyprinidae.
UUACGUCAUCAGCGCGAGACCACGGUUCAAGUCAUGGCAGUGACAACAUAAGAGGACCCAUGGAUAUGGAAGCACUGUCAUGGAAAUCCAGAGACCUGUGCUCUCUCCAGUGAUGUCCAGAAUUACAGUCCUAAAAGAGAAAAUUCAGCAAUGUGAAUCCCUGUUAAAUAUCACUGGACAAACAUGAAACAUAAGCAGUGCACAAAAGUCUCCAGCAGAGGACAAACCUUACCACCAUGAACAUUAAGGGUGUAGCCCAACACGUGUCCAUCACCAGGGCAAACUGGCGGCUGUCAACCCCCUCAACACGAACUUCCAC